This 492-nucleotide ribosomal RNA is filed under the name uncultured bacterium. Its description in RNAcentral is "partial 16S ribosomal RNA". It matches the Rfam family "Bacterial small subunit ribosomal RNA", at positions 29 to 507 of the family's 1533-position model. The record is from RNAcentral.
AGUGAACGCUGGCGGUAGGCCUAACACAUGCAAGUCGAACGGCAGCGCAGUAAGAGCUUGCUCUUACGGGUGGCGAGUGGCGGACGGGUGAGGAAUACAUCGGAAUCUACUUUUUCGUGGGGGAUAACGUAGGGAAACUUACGCUAAUACCGCAUACGACCUACGGGUGAAAGCAGGGGAUCUUCGGACCUUGCGCGAUUGAACGAGCCGAUGUCGGAUUAGCUAGUUGGCGGGGUAAAGGCCCACCAAGGCGACGAUCCGUAGCUGGUCUGAGAGGAUGAUCAGCCACACUGGAACUGGGACACGGUCCAGACUCCUACGGGAGGCAGCAGUCGGGAAUAGUGGACAAUGGGCGCAAGCCUGAUCCAGCCAUACCGCGUGGGUGAAGAAGGCCUUCGGGUUGUAAAGCCCUUUUGUUGGGAAAGAAAAGCAGCAGGUUAAGACCCCGCGGUUCUGACGGUACCCAAAGAAUAAGCACCGGCUAACUUCGUG